This 730-nucleotide ribosomal RNA is filed under the name uncultured bacterium. RNAcentral describes it as "bacterial SSU rRNA". It matches the Rfam family "Bacterial small subunit ribosomal RNA", at positions 768 to 1501 of the family's 1533-position model. The record is from RNAcentral.
GCAAACAGGAUUAGAUACCCUGGUAGUCCACGCCCUAAACGAUGCACACUAGUUGUUGCUAUGCUAGACAUAGCAGUAAUGCAGUUAACACAGUAAGUGUGCCGCCUGGGGAGUACGGUCGCAAGAUUAAAACUCAAAGGAAUAGACGGGGACCCGCACAAGCGGUGGAGCAUGUGGUUUAAUUCGACGAUACGCGAAGAACCUUACCUGGCCUUGACAUAGUAAGAACUUUUUAGAGAUAAAUUGGUGCUAGUUUACUAGAGCUUACAUACAGGUGCUGCACGGCUGUCGUCAGCUCGUGUCGUGAGAUGUUGGGUUAAGUCCCGCAACGAGCGCAACCCUCGUGUUUAGUUACUAACAGUUCGGCUGAGGACUCUAGACAGACUGCCUGGGUAACCAGGAGGAAGGUGAGGACGACGUCAAGUCAUCAUGGCCCUUACGGCCAGGGCUACACACGUGCUACAAUGGGGUAUACAAAGAGCCGCGAUACUGUGAAGUGGAGCAAAUCUCAAAAAUAUCUCCCAGUUCGGAUAGCAGUCUGCAACUCGACUGCUUGAAGUUGGAAUCGCUAGUAAUCGUAGAUCAGCAAUGCUACGGUGAAUACGUUCCCGGGUCUUGUACUCACCGCCCGUCACACCAUGGGAGUUGAACUCAUUCGAAGCGGGGAUGCUAAAGUAGCUACCCUCCACAGUGGAUUCAGCGACUGGGGUGAAGUCGUAACAAGGUAACC